Molecule: ribosomal RNA, 113 nt
Filed under: Periophthalmus magnuspinnatus
Lineage: Eukaryota; Metazoa; Chordata; Actinopteri; Gobiiformes; Gobiidae
Source: RNAcentral
UGGCCAAACCUCCUUGUCAAAGCCUGCUUUCACCAGAUUUCAGAAGCUAAGCAGGUCUGGGCUUGGUUAGUACUUGGAUGGGAGACCACUUAGAAGAUCAGGUGCUAGAAUAG